GAUGAAGAACGUAGCGAAAUGCGAUAAGUAAUGUGAAUUGCAGAAUUCAGUGAAUCAUCGAAUCUUUGAACGCACAUUGCGCCCGUCAGUAUUCUGGCGGGCAUGCCUGUUCGAGCGUCAUUACGCCCCUCAAGUCCCCUGUGGACUUGGUGUUGGGGAUCGGCGAGGCUGGUUUUCCAGCACAGCCGUCCCUUAAAUUAAUUGGCGGUCUCGCCGUGGCCCUCCUCUGCGCAGUAGUAAAACACUCGCAACAGGAGCCCGGCGCGGUCCACUGCCGUAAAACCCCCCAACUUUUUAUAGUUGACCUCGAAUCAGGUAGGACUACCCGCUGAACUUAAGCAUAUCGAUAAGCGGAGGA
Molecule: unclassified non-coding RNA, 358 nt
Filed under: soil metagenome
Description: partial contains 5.8S ribosomal RNA, internal transcribed spacer 2, and large subunit ribosomal RNA
Rfam family: 5.8S ribosomal RNA (bases 1-120)
Source: RNAcentral